Nerophis ophidion (straightnose pipefish) is the source of this 3119-nucleotide long non-coding RNA. RefSeq lists it as uncharacterized. The transcript has 2 exons. Lineage: Eukaryota; Metazoa; Chordata; Actinopteri; Syngnathiformes; Syngnathidae. The record is from RefSeq and is a predicted model, not a curated record.
GGAGGUUAGGAAGUGAUUGGGUUUAGGAGCCCGGCUGGCAGAAUGCUUUCUCUGUGAUCAGCUCACUGAGCUCUCUAUAUAGUGAACUUUGACACGACUGCUGCAACUUAGCACACGUUACCAUGGCGACGCGCUGCCAUAUAAGGAAGGCGAGUGUGUUUGACUGGUCAGAGCUCAGGGACCUCCCCCCGCACCUCAUUGGCUGAGCGGCACUUGUGCUACUUGGUGCCUCGCCAAGAGGGACCGCCGUGUGGAGGUCGAGCGAGGGCCGCUGGGUCCUAAAGCGAGACGUGUUCGCUCCAUGUAGAGGAAAGAGCAAGGAAAGUGUGGAAAAAAAACAAACAUGUACACUUCACUUCAUCUGUUUUCUUUUUUCAAACAUGCAAAGGAGGCAAAAAUGGUAGAACAUGGGUACAAAUAAUUGCUAUAUACGGCCAAAUUGAUAAUUGCCUAUACAAAUCUAAAUUUUAAGACGUUAUGACUGAUGGAUGUUCAAAGUUGUCAAUAGAGUUUUUAUUUAUUUUUUUCCAAAGGAGAGGCUAUGACCUCCCUCAUCACACUUGGACUGAACCUGGAUUUUUUGUGUGUGUGUGCGUGUAUGCGUGCAUGUGUGAUCAUUGCUGCAAGCUUUGUCCCCCUCAACACAGUGUCCGGCUGCCCCCUAGCGUACGAAAGUAUACUGCAGCUCAAGCUAAGCCUCAAGUCGGAGGAGUCAUUCCUGCAAACGCAGCCUGCUUCAGUCUUUUGCUCUCUUCUGCCUCGAUCUAACUCAGCAGCGAUCCUCUUCGUUUUUUGUUUUUUAAAUUAUCAUUAUUAAUAAUUUAAAUUAUACCGGACCACGUGGUGAUUAGAUGCAUUCACGGUUUCACAAAUUGGAUUUACUUGUUUUGUUAUUUUUUAUUAUUAUCCUUUUUUUUUUUUUUUGCUACUACGCCGCGCCUUUUUUAAACUACUUUAUCGCAGAUCAAAUUGUUUGCAUGACUUUGUUGGUUGUAUUUGCAGAUCGUGUACAUCUGUACAUAAACAUGGAGGGGAAAAAAAACAACCGUAUAAUUGGGUCCAAAAGGGUCCUCCAUGCAGAUAGCGGGACACUGACCCCCGAGGUCUCCCAAGUUCCCGGCCCGGUUAACCCCUCUGGAGCCGCGCAGGAGCAAAGGUUAACCUGACUAAUCAACUUGAAGAGUGGGAUUGAAUGAAGGUGAAGUCAACUGCAGCGGCCACUUAAUACAAGACCGACGCACAGCAGGAAAGAAACAGGUAAAUACCAUCAUUAGCAUUAUAAUUGGACAUUUAAUUCAACUUUUAACGAUUAUUUUUUUGUUUUGUUUUUAUAUGGUGUAUUGUUUAUACCAAAAUGUAAUUAUCAUUCAGUUGUAUCAAGUUUCAUUUGUGAAAAAUUCAAAAUGAUGCAUAUUCUAUUCAGUUGAUAUUAAUAAUAGUAUACAGUAAACAUGUGUGUUUCCGUCAAAAAGGUAGAAUUUUGCACAUUGUGGUUGUCGAUGUGCACUUCCUGAGAGGUGAAGUUCAGUUUGCCAAUUUAUUCUCCAAACAAGAAUAAAAACAUUGAGAUACAAUUAAAAUAUGUUCCCCCAUCACUAAAUCAUCUAACACACGAAUCAGUCAUAAUCAUAAUCACCUGAUACGUGUCAAUAUUAAGCAUAUUUAAGGUGUUUCUAACAUUUACACCCUCUUUUUUUGACCACUUUGACAAUGCGAUAAUAAACAUAUUUUAUCAGUCAACAACGACGCAGCGCUUGCAUUGAGACUGUGCAGGUGUGCCUAAUGUUGGUGCUCCAUAAUAGUCUCGCCUCGUGCUAACCUUUGACUUAAAUAGUCCUUGAUGAUGCUUCACACUGAUGUAGAAAGGCUUGCGCGCAACAAACACACGUGUUGUGUGUCCAUACAUAAAGAGUUGAUCCAUGCAUAUUAAGACUUGGUGUGUGUGUGUGUGUGUGCCCAGAGGGCCGCUAUCUAAAAAGGCAAUAAAUUCCAGAAAGCUCCACUGUUCCGUAUGCCAAUGAUAGAUUAUAGUGCCAAUUUGCAGGGAAAGGGAUCAAUUUGUUUCAAUGAUCACUCUUUAGGCCCACUGCCAGCCUACUCUUCAUGUGUUUGUAUAAAGCCGCUCGUUCCAAUCACCAGCUCGCCACUGAAUAAAAGUAGGCGCCACAAAGCGAGGAGGACGGCAGGUCGGCCCGCUCAAGACUGUCGUGAUGAUGACGUCUCCAGGCAACAGAGGUCACAGGUCGUAGUCUCCACUAUAGUCGCUGCGAAUUCUAUGCGAAGUGAAACCCCCCCUAAGAAGACCUGCCGGAGUGCCCUUGGGCCCGGCUGUGCAGACGGACUAGUCCUCUCUCUGUCCCCCCCCCCUCCUCGUCCCCCUGCUUUUUUGGGGAAAAAAGUUUUUUUCAUGAAAAAAGACAAGAGAGGAGAAACAAGCCCACAUGUGCCCCCAAAGGCAGACAGCAGGCAGCAGACAGUGUAUUGAAUUGCAGUAACUCGAGGUGUAGUGUGUGGAAAAAGUGUGUGCAUUUGAGGGCUCACUCCGGCUUCCCGUCGGAGUCGUUAAGGUUGCAUUUUAAUUGCUAGAUCAUUCCAUCGUGGUAAUUGUCGCUGCCACACCUUUAUUGUGUUGCAGUGUGUGUGUUUUAUUGGCUGUUCGUUAACUUAGUGAUCAUAAAACACCAACAAAUGAACUCCGUCUUUUUUCUUUACAAUAACAAUAUAUUUUUGUUCAUUUUUAGUUCUUGAUUGCCAAUACAAGAGCUCAUGUGUGAUAUUAUUGUUCUUGUAUUGUGGUGGAUAUUUUUGUAGCUAAAAAAAAGGGUUGCAACAUAUUACAAACACCUUUCAGGGCAAUCACAAUAGUAAACACACUGUUUACAUGUGAGAUAUUAAUAUUAAUGAUGCCAUUAUUUUUUAGAAUUGUUGUGUGCUGUGUCCAGCUCGUGCAUAUGAGGUGUUAAAUACUUUAUACCCUGUUUAAUACACGUUUCAUUUUUCAGAUGACUUUGCGACAUUUUUUCAAUAAAUUAUUUUAUUUAUUUGCAUAUUAUAUAUACAUUCUGUAUGGCUGUUUUUAGUGUAUAGACUGUAUAUAAAUAAAGUGUUUUUGCACCCCA